GACGAACCGUGCGACCGUUAUUCGGAAUCACUGGGCUUAAAGCGCGUGUAGGCGGGAGGGCACGUCCGUCGCUGAAAUCCCCCGGCUCAACCGGGGAACGGGCACGGAUACGACCUUCCUGGAGGGGCGUAGGGGGACCUGGAACUUCCGGUGGAGCGGUGAAAUGCGUAGAUAUCGGAAGGAACACCGGUGGCGAAAGCGGCGCGCUGGAUCUCUUCUGACGCUGAGGCGCGAAAGCCAGGGGAGCGAACGGG
This 254-nucleotide ribosomal RNA is filed under the name uncultured bacterium. RNAcentral describes it as "partial 16S ribosomal RNA". It matches the Rfam family "Bacterial small subunit ribosomal RNA", at positions 524 to 776 of the family's 1533-position model. The record is from RNAcentral.